RNAcentral lists this ribosomal RNA (630 nucleotides) under Catathelasma imperiale. Its description in RNAcentral is "partial small subunit ribosomal RNA". It matches the Rfam family "Bacterial small subunit ribosomal RNA", at positions 393 to 919 of the family's 1533-position model. The record is from RNAcentral. Lineage: Eukaryota; Fungi; Basidiomycota; Agaricomycetes; Agaricales; Biannulariaceae.
GAAAUCACAUGAUUCAUGCAUAAUUGGUGGUGAAUGUGAUAACGUAAGGGAAAAAAAUGAUAUUACCUUACUAUUAGUGUUGUCCAAAACUGGUGCCAGAAGACUCGGUAAGGCCAGAGACGCAAACGUUAGUCGUCCUAAUCAGGCGUAAAGGGUUUGUAGGCUGCUUUGAAAGUUUUAUCUUUAUAAUAGCUCUUAAACCGUAGUAUUACAUUUAUUUUAUUAUUAUAAAUAAGUAAAGAUGUGGUACUUUAUUUUUAUGGCUGCUUUUGUUAGCAGUUCUAAAAAUAAAUGAUAUUAAUAUUUUGACUUAAUAUCCGUGUUAAGGUAAAGAAAAAUGAAUUAAAGCUAGAAUCAAAUUGGGGAUAAACCGAAUAAUACUUAGAGUAGGGAUGAAAUCCAUAGAUACUAAGGGGAAUACUAAGGGUGAAAGCUUUUUAUCUACUAAUGAUUGACGCUGAGAAACGAAGGUGAGAAUAGGAAAUAGGAUUAGAUACCCAGAUACCUCUCACUGUCAACGAUGAAUGGUGGUUGUUAGUUUUAAUAAAAACUGGUAACGAUGUUAACACGAUAACCAUUCCGCCUUGCGAGUACGGUUGCAAAACUGAAACCAAAAAAAUUAGUCGGUCU